This 216-nucleotide ribosomal RNA is filed under the name Glomeromycotina sp. Its description in RNAcentral is "partial small subunit ribosomal RNA". The stretch from base 40 to 216 matches the Rfam family "Eukaryotic small subunit ribosomal RNA", at positions 686 to 864 of the family's 1831-position model. Lineage: Eukaryota; Fungi; Glomeromycota. The record is from RNAcentral.
GGGUCAUGAGGCUGGUCGUGCCACCGGUACGUACUGGUCUCACUGAUUCCUCCUUCCUGAAGAACCGUAAUGCCAUUAAUUUGGUGUUGCGGGGAAACAGGACUGUUACUUUGAAAAAAUUAGAGUGUUUAAAGCAAGCUAACGCUUGAAUACAUUAGCAUGGAAUAAUGAAAUAGGACGAUCGAUCCUAUUUUGUCGGUUUCUAGGAUUGACGUA